UACGGGGGGGGCAAGCGUUGUUCGGAAUUACUGGGCGUAAAGCGCACGUAGGCGGCUUUGUAAGUUAGAGGUGAAAGCCCGGAGCUCAACUCCGGAACUGCCUUUAAGACUGCAUCGCUUGAACGUCGGAGAGGUAAGUGGAAUUCCGAGUGUAGAGGUGAAAUUCGUAGAUAUUCGGAAGAACACCAGUGGCGAAGGCGACUUACUGGACGACUGUUGACGCUGAGGAGCGAAAGUGUGGGGAGCGAACAGG
Molecule: ribosomal RNA, 253 nt
Filed under: uncultured bacterium
Lineage: Bacteria
Description: partial 16S ribosomal RNA
Rfam family: Bacterial small subunit ribosomal RNA
Source: RNAcentral